UUAGGACUAUGGGAAGAAUAGGGGGAGAUUCUCUAGUGAUGAUAAUACAUGAAUGCUUUAAAAGCUAGAACAGGCGUCCCUGGGUGGUCUUGAACUACUCACCGUUCGGUUAAUAGCCGAACGCUCUGACCGAUUGCGCCACAGAGACAGGUACUAGCGAUUCCACUGGGCGCUAUAGGCAGGGCGCACUCACCGAACUCCCCAAUCCCUUCCAGCCUCAGAGCCCGCCUGGCAGGACUACUGAGCAAGGCCUUGGAAAAUCGGAGCGAUUAGAGCGGUUCAAACAAUACAGAAGUGUAUAAAGUAAGAAUUGAAAGUCUCUUCGCUGCUCUAAUCUCACUCCUCAGAGGUGAUCACUGGACCUGAGUGAGCAGAAGGCUUUUCAGAAUUACAGCCUGAACUAUUUCUUGAGCAAUUUGGGAACUCAUUUCUAAAGCAGUCCUCAGAUUCACACAACGUAGUUUGUGACGGAGUAUGCCCAGAGCAGUGUGGAAGAUGAUCAAAGUAUGACAUUUCUUCUACCCCAGAGGCUGGCAUUUCUGCAGGCACAAAUGAGCUUGGUUUUCAAGCACUGCUCUUUGAACACAAGGAAUUCCUUUAAUGAUCACGCCGGACUAUAUAGACUUUGGAAUCAGACUCUUUGAAUUCCAGCUCUGCCAUUUACCAACUUUGACACUUUGGACAACGUCUCAUUCUGUCACCCAGGCUGGAGUGCAGUGGCACAAUUAUAGCUCACUGCAGCCUCAAACACCUGGGCUCAAGCAAUCCUUCCACCUCUGCCUCCUGAGUAAUUGGGACUACAGGCAUGUGCCACCACACCCAGCUAAUUUUUAAUUUUUAAUUUUUUUGUAGAGAUGGCGGUCUUGCUAUGUCACCCAGGCUGGUCUUGAACACCUGGCCUCAAGUGAUCCUCCGGCCUUGGUCUCUCAAAGCUCUGGGAUUACAGACAUGAGCCACUGCACCCGGCUCUAUCUCCCCUUCCUAUGUGUGUUAGCUCUAGAACAAGAGAAGCCUUGUUGAGAUUCCUGGCUGCCCACCCCCCAUCACCUCUCUGACUUUGGGCAAGUUGCCUGGCCUCUCUCAGCCUUUAUUUUCUUUUUGUGAAAUGGGGAUAAUAAUAGUACUUGCCUCAUAGGCAAAAUGUUGUGAGAACUAAACGAGAAAAUGCAUGUAAAGCACUUGGCACUUAGUUCUUUUUAUGAUUAUAAUGAUAAUCAGACACAAUAAAUUAUGUCUCACAUCA
Long non-coding RNA from Homo sapiens (human), 1243 nucleotides. NCBI's taxonomy places the organism in Eukaryota, Metazoa, Chordata, Mammalia, Primates, Hominidae. The record is from Ensembl.